UAAUGCGCAACAAUUUAUUUUAUCAUUUAUUAUUUAUUAUUAUUAUUUACUGUAAAAUAUACUUCACGAUUUUUGUGCUCUCUUUCUUUCUUUCUCUUUCUCUCUUUGAUACAUUAUUUAUCAUGUUACAAAAUGAUAAAACAUAUCAAUUGUUUGUUGUUUCUAAUCAUAGUUAGAUAGCACGUGUAAAUAGCAUGCAUUUUUGGCGAGCGGGAAAAUUGUCCUUUGUACGAUGACUGGGUUUUUCUCGUAUACUUGGUCCUUCUCCUUAUCUCGCAUCAUCCAUCUUGCUCAUAUACCUCUUUAUCAGCUCACUGCAAGGCACAUCUUCUGGCGAACCAACUGGAAGACCUUAGGGACAUUAAUAAUCUUACACUAAGCUGUCUGAAAAGGCUCGCGAGGCACAACCGGGAUGAAGCGAGAUGAAAGAGCCGGAGGUGGACGAUGAGCUGGAUGAACAUAAGGGGUUAAAAGAAAAGAUCAGUGCAGAAGAAAGGGGAAAGACUAUCAUCCUAAUAGAAUCCAUCUUCUUGGUGAAGCCUGACGCUGGAUCAUCCUUGACAAAUAAAUUCAAGAAAGAAAAUAUCGGUAACAAUGAAAGAGAGUGUCGAAGGAAAAAAAGAGUAUUCCACUGAUGGAAUCUAUUGUCUCGUCUAUCGAUUACGUGUUCCUAUGCAGAUUGAAUCGCAAGCUAGGAAAUGGCUAAGGAAAGGUGCUCGAAGGGAGAAAAGGAAUUGAAAAAUCUCAUUACGCAAGAAAGAAGUUCACAAUCGCAUUCCGACAUUUCUCACUCAAAGCACGGAGAGGGAAGCCGCGCUUUUCUCUCGCGAUUCGGAGAAGUAAUUAAAUCGGUUGUACGCUCAAACAACGCCAUUAUAAUCUCUCCCGAGAUGCAAGAAAGAAACCGUAUAAUAACAAAGCAUAUAAUAAGUUCAUGAGACAAUUAACGAUGAUGUAAAGCCCGCCCUCUCUCGCACGACUUGUGUAAUUUGUAAAAGUCCGAAGAAAUUCGAUCUUUUCCUUUUUUCCCCGAUUAUGCGCACGAUCGGAAAUUAUCGUAAUGUAAAAAAUUAUUGUUAAAUUCGUGAUCGAUUGUGCAUUGUUUAAUUGAUAUUGUGAUUUUCAUUGAAGCGUAAUUUUAUGUCGAUGUUGAUAGUAUAUUAAUGGAUAUUGAGAGGUAAGUUGACUUUGGAACAACUUGCAAUAUUUAAACAUUACAAAUGUGAAACUUGAUAUAUUUUAUGAAUUUAUAUACUUGUU
Molecule: non-coding RNA, 1260 nt
Organism: Nylanderia fulva
Lineage: Eukaryota; Metazoa; Arthropoda; Insecta; Hymenoptera; Formicidae
Source: RefSeq, a predicted model, not a curated record